Molecule: long non-coding RNA, 1609 nt
Organism: Heterocephalus glaber (naked mole-rat)
Lineage: Eukaryota; Metazoa; Chordata; Mammalia; Rodentia; Bathyergidae
Source: Ensembl
CUCUUUCUCUGAUCUGGACAAGCAGGACUGACAGGAACCCUAGGCAGAAGACCCAUAUGGACAGUCAUCAGCCUCUGCUAAAACAUUUUGACUGCAGAUCAGCCUUAAGGACAAGCUUGGUCUUGAUUUGCUAAAUGGGGCAUGCAAGAAUUUGGACAAAUCCUUUCUCAAGAAAAUAGCCUGCCAUGCUGGGCAUUGUCUGGUUGCACAAUCUGACUUCUAAUGUCAAGAGCUGAAUAUUACCUACUCUUUCUCUGCUUAUCUCUGCUUUAAUUUUAAUCUCCUCUCAGAUGGAUGGAUAUUCAGGUCAGAUUAGGGUGGAAGUUUUAGGAAGGCAAAAAGACAAAAUAACAUUAGAGUUUAAAAUUAUUUGUCAUGGAAAAUCUGCAUUUUUCUAUGACUCAUUCUGCUUUAGGAUUAUAAUUGUCCUUCAGUAUCUAUGGGAGUUUGGCUCCAAAAGCCUCAAGGACACCAAAAUCCACUAAGCUCAGGGCCUUUAUAUAAAUGUCAAAGUAUUUGCAUAUAACCUAAGUAUAUCCUCCUACAUACUUUAAGUCAUCUCUAUACAGCAUUGAAUACAAUAUAAAUGCUAUAUGAAGAGUUUUCAUACUACAUUGUCUAGAGAGUAAUGACAGAAAAAAUACAAACAUAUUCAGUAUGGAUGCAAUUUAAAAAGUUUUAUGAUCUGCCACUGAUUGAAUCCACAAAUAUGGAACUCAUGGAUAUAGAGCCUCACUGUACACAAGAACUCUGGUAUCUUGUUAGCAUGUAUUUUCCUCCUGGACAAAGGAAGGCUAGGUGUCAUUUCCACACCCUCUGACUUAGUUUCAUUUGCUGGCCUUCUAGCAAAAGUAGAAUAUAACAGACUCUAUAUUGCCGCUUACUAUACUUGUAUUAUGCUUAUCAAAUUUAGUACCUAUUGUAUCACUUAGGAAUUGCACUUGAUUAUAAAUGAAAUACAAAAUCAAUCACCUUAAAUUAAAUUUUUUUUCUAUCUAAUAAAAGUAUAGUCAUAGUUUACCCUGCAGUUAGACUGAGCCAUAUGAAUUGUUCUGACUAAUAGACUGUAGGGAAAAUGAAAUGUCUCCUUUCUGGGGUGAAGCAUAAAAAAGCAGCCAGGGAUGCUCAGUGGCACAGUGCUUACCUUAUAAGCACUUGGUCCUGAGUUCAACCCUCAGUACUGCAAAAAAAAAAAAAGCAGUCAUGACAACUGCUGAACAUAUGCAUUUGAGAUGGUGUAGCAAGGUGGUAGAGCUGCUGCCCCCCAAUCCCUACGUGAUAUAUGCAUCAGAGCUACCCUAACAACCUGCAAUGGGUGUGAAGUGAGAAAUAACUUUUGUCAUGUUAAGCCUUUGAUAUGCUGGAAUUCAAUUGUUACUGCAGCAUAAUCUAAUCUGAUCAAUACAAAUGAGACAGGCAAAGGACAAAAGGCACAUGUCUGUUUCCUUCCAUCCAUUUUUAAGGAUAUUUUAUGGAAGCCACAUUCAAUGUCAUUAACUUAUUAACCAGAGGUCUCUUAUAGGGUGUUAUUGUUUAGAUCUAAAAUGUCUCCCAUGUAUGUACCAACUCCCUAUGAUGAAUGUAAUCAUGAUGUACUGCAAACAUAUAC